GAUGAAGAACGCAGCGAAAUGCGAUAAGUAAUGCGAAUUGCAGAAUUUCCGUGAGUCAUCGAAUCUUUGAACGCACAUUGCGCCCCUUGGUAUUCCAUGGGGCAUGCCUGUUCGAGCGUCAUUUGUACCUUCAAGCUCUGCUUGGUGUUGGGUGUUUGUCUCGCCUCUGCGUGUAGACUCGCCUCAAAACAAUUGGCAGCCGGCGUAUUGAUUUCGGAGCGCAGUACAUCUCGCGCUUUGCACUCAUAACGACGACGUCCAAAAGUACAUUUUUACACUCUUGACCUCGGAUCAGGUAGGGAUACCCGCUGAACUUAAGCAUAUCAAUAAGCGGAGGA
RNAcentral lists this unclassified non-coding RNA (338 nucleotides) under soil metagenome. RNAcentral's name for it is "partial contains 5.8S ribosomal RNA, internal transcribed spacer 2, and large subunit ribosomal RNA". The stretch from base 1 to 121 matches the Rfam family "5.8S ribosomal RNA", at positions 35 to 154 of the family's 154-position model. The record is from RNAcentral.